CAGUAGCCACGGUAAUACGGAGGGUUCAAGCGUUAAUCGGAAUUACUGGGCGUAAAGCGCACGCAGGCGGUCUGUCAAGUCAGAUGUGAAAUCCCCGGGCUUAACCUGGGAACUGCAUUUGAAACUGGCAGGCUAGAGUCUUGUAGAGGGGGGUAGAAUUCCAGGUGUAGCGGUGAAAUGCGUAGAGAUCUGGAGGAAUACCGGUGGCGAAGGCGGCCCCCUGGACAAAGACUGACGCUCAGGUGCGAAAGCGUGGGGAGCAAACAGGAUUAGAUACCCCAGUAGUCCCUGUCUCUUAUAC
This 301-nucleotide ribosomal RNA is filed under the name uncultured bacterium. Its description in RNAcentral is "partial 16S ribosomal RNA". It matches the Rfam family "Bacterial small subunit ribosomal RNA", at positions 509 to 807 of the family's 1533-position model. The record is from RNAcentral.